AAGUCGUAACAAGGUCUCCGUAGGUGAACCUGCGGAGGGAUCAUUACUGAGUGAGGGCUUCCGGCCCGACCUCCAACCCCAUGUGAACCGAAACCUGUUGCUUCGGGGGCGACCCUGCCUUCGUGCGAGGCGCCCCCGGAGGCUCAUCAAACCCUGCAUCUGUGCGUCGGAGUCUUAAAUGAAUUUAAACAAAA
Molecule: unclassified non-coding RNA, 194 nt
Filed under: plant metagenome
Description: partial contains small subunit ribosomal RNA and internal transcribed spacer 1
Rfam family: Eukaryotic small subunit ribosomal RNA (bases 1-46)
Source: RNAcentral